This 65-nucleotide transfer RNA is filed under the name Exorista larvarum. RNAcentral's name for it is "tRNA-Phe". The record is from RNAcentral. Lineage: Eukaryota; Metazoa; Arthropoda; Insecta; Diptera; Tachinidae.
AUUCAAAUAGCUUAUAAAUAGAGUAUAAUAUUGAAGAUAUUAGGGAGAUUAUUAAUCUUUGAAUA